AAUUCCGUAUAUUCCGUUAUAAAAUCAUUCCGCGUUAAGACGAAGCCGCUAUGAUAACGUUCUGCGUUAACAUGAGUCCGCGAGGACGGCUGAAUACGCUGUAGUGGCCAUGCCAGACCAGUAGCUGGCGAUGUAGAGCUGUAGUGAAACAGUGGCGGUAAAACAUGCGCCUGCGCACAAACGAUUUCCGGUUUAGACAGCCUUUAAAUCAGGAGAAGAAGAAGAAGAAGAGGCGGGCAACACUAUUUACAAACAACAAUGGCGAGUGGUCGUACAAAGACGCAGGACUUCUUUGUCUGGACAGACGACGAAGUUGGGUUGUUGCUGGAUGUGGCCCUGAACUACAAAACAACCAAAUGGCAGGAGAAUGUUGACUGGGAAUCUUGCCAGUCGAAGUACGCCGACAUUUUGGGGGACUUUGUGCAGCAAUACCCGGCGAGCACCACUGCAGGAGGGAAGGACUUCCCUCAUCAUAAAUACGGCAUAACAAAAAGUCAGGUAACUUCGAAAUUAAAGGCCAUUCGGGCGAAGUACCGUAAGGCCGUGGACACCGGACGGCGAAGUGGCCACGGACGUGUUGUCUACAUAUUUUUUGACAAAUGUGAACAAAUUUGGGGUGGGUCGCCUGCUACAAACGCCUUGGAGGCUGGUAUCGAGUCUGAGGACAUGCUGUCCAGCUCCGAGGGCCCCUCCACCUCCAGCAGAUGUUCGACUCCAGCUGCACAAAUGCCUCCGGUGUUGGAUCCGGUGCCGAGUCCUGACGAUGAGAACGUGAGCUUCCAGCUCCCACCAGAGGUUGUUGGUCGACGCGACAUGCUCCAAACAAGGCUUCUUAACAACAGAAGGAAUCGGCUGAAGCACAAGCUUCAUGGAGACCCAGCUGUGCAGGAGGAUCUCAUCCUGAAGAAGCGAAUGGUGGACCUGCUGGAGGAGUCAGAGAGGAGGACCAGCGAAAGGCUGGACAGGAUCACAGACAAUAUAGCCACCAUCACAAAGACAAUUACUGAUGUGCUGCAUCAUAUGAUGAUGCAGCCAAACCCCUUUCCCUUUGCUGGCAGCAGUUUUAUGAGGAGAAAAGCAGAUCUCCAGCUCCUGCCUACGGAUAAAGAAAAUGUUGAAACUAUAAAGAAAGAGGAGAGCCCUAGUCCACGCCAGGGGGACCUAAAGCCCCCCCACAUUAUAAACGAAGAGGAGAGCUCCAGUCCACACCAGGAGGAUCUAAUGCCCCCCCACAUUAUAAAGGAAGAGGAGAGCUCCAGUCCACACCAGGAGGAUGUAAAGCCCCCCCACAUUAUGAAGAAAGAGGAGAUGGAGUUAACCAUCCCACGGCUUGAUCCGGAAUUAGAUCUACCCCCCCUCACUGAUAUUAAGACUGAAGAUUCUUCUGACACAGGUGACAGUGAAGAUUGGAAAUAAAGCCGGUCCUGUGAACACAGGAGCAGAAGGAUCAGAACCGCCAUCACAGAGGAUACAUGAAAGGAAUGUCGAAGGACUCGAACCAUCAGCCCUGUUAUAGCAUUUUGUUUUGGUUAGUUUUAUAAAACUACCUGUGUUCCUUCAGCUGUGACAGAUGUGACAUUCUUUACAUAAAUCCCUUGUCACCUCUGGAGAUAAAUAAAACGUAAAUAAGAUCACCU
Long non-coding RNA from Sphaeramia orbicularis (orbiculate cardinalfish), 1637 nucleotides. The record is from Ensembl. NCBI's taxonomy places the organism in Eukaryota, Metazoa, Chordata, Actinopteri, Kurtiformes, Apogonidae.